UACAGAGGGUGCGAGCGUUAAUCGGAAUUACUGGGCGUAAAGCGUGCGCAGGCGGUUUGUUAAGCGAGAUGUGAAAGCCCCGGGCUCAACCUGGGAACCGCAUUUCGAACUGGCAAACUAGAGUCUUGUAGAGGGGGGUAGAAUUCCAGGUGUAGCGGUGAAAUGCGUAGAGAUCUGGAGGAAUACCGGUGGCGAAGGCGGCCCCCUGGACAAAGACUGACGCUCAGGCACGAAAGCGUGGGGAGCAAACAGG
This 253-nucleotide ribosomal RNA is filed under the name uncultured microorganism. Its description in RNAcentral is "partial 16S ribosomal RNA". It matches the Rfam family "Bacterial small subunit ribosomal RNA", at positions 524 to 776 of the family's 1533-position model. The record is from RNAcentral.